Molecule: ribosomal RNA, 250 nt
Filed under: uncultured bacterium
Lineage: Bacteria
Also listed under: 1 other name
Description: partial 16S ribosomal RNA
Rfam family: Bacterial small subunit ribosomal RNA
Source: RNAcentral
UACGAAGGGUGCAAGCGUUAGUCGGAAUUACUGGGCGUAAAGCGUGCGUAGGUGGUUUCUUAAGUCGGAUGUGAAAGCCCUGGGCUCAACCUGGGAAUGGCACUCGAUACUGGGAAGCUAGAGUGCGGUAGAGGAGGGUGGAAUUCCCGGUGUAGCGGUGAAAUGCGUAGAGAUCGGGAGGAACAUCAGUGGCGAAGGCGACCCUCUGGACCAGCACUGACGCUGAGGCACGAAAGCGUGGGGAGCAAAC